AUGGAGAGCAUGCACAGCUUCCUGGAGCACCUGUCCAGGACAGUGCCUCCUGCCGGGGGCGGUGGGCACGACGAGCAGGUGCGCACAUGGAUGAAGCAGGUCCGGGACCUGGCCCAUGACUGCAGCAACUGCAUCGACCUCUACCUCCGGCGCGGUGAUCCGGCGGUCUACCGUGCCAGGGCCGGCCGCUGGCGCUACCUCUGGUGGGCUUCCUGGUUGGUGCAGAGGAUGGUCGCCCAGCACAACGCGGCCAUUCGGCUGCGUGAGCUCAAGGAGCGGGCACGUGACGUAGGCAACCGUCGGUUGCGGUAUGGCGUGGAGAUCCCGCGGAAGGAGGCGGCGGCAUCUUUGCCACCGUCGUCGUCUCAAGCUGCUGCCACAGAAUACAAGGAGGAGGACGACUAUCAGAUUCAAGUGGCCGACGGUUCUGAUCCCCAUCAAAGGGCUCUAGAACCUCGCCUUGUAGAGGAGUACUGUGCCGAGAAGCUAGCCAACUGGCAGGAAUUGCAAGCCAAAACCAACAACUGUAUAUCCAUGGCAUCCAUCACCAUUGUUGCGCCAGAUGAUACAAAGGGUGCUGGUACCGUCGCACAUGACUCUUUGAGGUUUGCCGCCAACAACUUUGAGCGCACGAUCUGGGUCAAUCUCUCGGCAUUGCACUUCCCAUGGGAUCUUCCUCUGUUACCCAGGGAGAUCCUCUCCUACAUCCUGCAUGAAUGUGGGCAGCAGGAAGUCACAGGCGGACAAAGCGAGGUUAAUAAUCCUCGGGAAGGUUACAAUUACAAAGCAGGACUCGAGUUCGAAAUGUGGAAGAUGGUUAAUAAUGGAGAAAUCCGCGACAAGAUUGAUCAAAUCAGGAACAAGGUUCGAGAAGUUGGCAAGGGGGAGAUUGGAGGAGUGGAUAGAGGGAAGGUUGAAGAAAACAAGUGCUUAGGCAUAUUCCACCAUGCGCUGCGGCUCGUGCUGAACACGCCGGUUCAGCCACUAUCCUCAGAGGGGACUAUAGAGGAAACUGCUUCAUUGCUGAAAGAUCAUAUGGAAACAGGCGAAUCAGGAGAGGUUGAGGCGACCAGUGAUGUUGCUGCUGCUAUCAAUGAAACCAUCAAAGAAACCCUGGAAAAAAUGUCGCAGAUCCCUGGAGGAUUCGGGGUCUGCUGUACGCCAAAGGGAUAG
Molecule: ribosomal RNA, 1173 nt
Filed under: Triticum aestivum (bread wheat)
Lineage: Eukaryota; Viridiplantae; Streptophyta; Magnoliopsida; Poales; Poaceae
Description: partial small subunit ribosomal RNA
Source: RNAcentral